This 484-nucleotide ribosomal RNA is filed under the name uncultured bacterium. Its description in RNAcentral is "partial 16S ribosomal RNA". It matches the Rfam family "Bacterial small subunit ribosomal RNA", at positions 899 to 1397 of the family's 1533-position model. The record is from RNAcentral.
ACUCAAAUGAAUUGACGGGGGCCCGCACAAGCAGCGGAGCGUGUGGUUUAAUUCGAUGGUACGCGAAGAACCUUACCUGGGUUUGACAUGCCCGGACAGCCUUCGAAAGAGGGUUUCCCCGCAAGGGGCCGGUGCACAGGUGCUGCAUGGCUGUCGUCAGCUCGUGCCGUGAGGUGUUGGGUUAAGUCCCGCAACGAGCGCAACCCUUGUCGCUAGUUGUACUUUUCUAGCGAGACCGCUGAGACAAACUCAGAGGAAGGCGGGGAUGAUGUCAAGUCAGCAUGGCCCUUAUGCCCAGGGCUACACACACGCUACAAUGGCCGGCACAAAGGGCCGCGAAACCGCGAGGUGAAGCUAAUCCCACAAAACCGGCCUCAGUUCAGAUUGCAGGCUGAAACUCGCCUGCAUGAAGGCGGAGUUGCUAGUAACCGUAGGUCAGCACACUACGGUGAAUACGUUCUCGGGCCUUGCACACACCGCCCGU